RNAcentral lists this ribosomal RNA (406 nucleotides) under uncultured bacterium. RNAcentral describes it as "partial 16S ribosomal RNA". It matches the Rfam family "Bacterial small subunit ribosomal RNA", at positions 30 to 526 of the family's 1533-position model. The record is from RNAcentral.
AUUGAACGCUGGCGGCAGGCCUAACACAUGCAAGUCGAACGAGUGGCGGACGGGUGAGUAAUGUCUGGGAAACUGCCUGAUGGAGGGGGAUAACUACUGUAAACGGUAGCUAAUACCGCCUACCCCCCGAUGUGCCCAGAUGGGAUUAGCUAGUUGGUGGGGUAACGGCUCACCAAGGCGACGCGCCCUAGCUGGUCUGGGAGGAUGACCAGCCACACUGGAACUGAGACACGGUCCAGACUCCUACGGGAGGCAGCAGUAGGGAAUAUUGCACAAUGGGCGCAAGCCUGAUGCAGCGAUGCCGCGUGUAUGAAGAAGGCCUUCGGGUUGUAAAGUACUUUCAGCGGGGAGGCGUUACCCGCAGAAGAAGCACCGGCUAACUCCGUGCCAGCAGCCGCGGUAAUAC